RNAcentral lists this ribosomal RNA (271 nucleotides) under uncultured bacterium. Its description in RNAcentral is "partial 16S ribosomal RNA". It matches the Rfam family "Bacterial small subunit ribosomal RNA", at positions 83 to 353 of the family's 1533-position model. The record is from RNAcentral.
CUUUGCUGGCGACCGGCGCACGGGUGAGUAACACGUAUCCAACCUACCCUUUACUCGGGGAUAGCCUUUCGAAAGAAAGAUUAAUACCCGAUAGCAUAAUGAUUCCGCAUGGUUUCAUUAUUAAAGGAUUCCGGUAAAGGAUGGGGAUGCGUUCCAUUAGGUUGUUGGUGGGGUAACGGCCCACCAAGCCUUCGAUGGAUAGGGGUUCUGAGAGGAAGGUCCCCCACAUUGGAACUGAGACACGGUCCAAACUCCUACGGGAGGCAGCAUG